Photinus pyralis (common eastern firefly) is the source of this 2387-nucleotide long non-coding RNA. RefSeq lists it as uncharacterized. The transcript is spliced from 3 exons. The record is from RefSeq and is a predicted model, not a curated record. NCBI's taxonomy places the organism in Eukaryota, Metazoa, Arthropoda, Insecta, Coleoptera, Lampyridae.
AAUCGCAUGUUAUGAAUUUUACAUUGAAAUCCCUAUGAUGCGUUACGCAAGUCACCACCCUGUAUACGUGAACAUUAUGCAAGUCAGUCGUCAGUCACCAUUAACACUUUAAAUAAAAUUCAAGCAAAGUGCAAACGCUACGCGACACCGACUAUUACAAUGCAUCUCAAUUGGAUGGAAUACGAGCGCGAGCCGAACUAAAAUGCGCGUUGUUGAUAUAGGCGUCUUUUAUUUUUGAGUGAGCCGAGUUUCAGAAUAACGCACCUAAGUCAAAAUGGCGGAUGUUCUGUCAAACUGCCCAAAAUGGCGGCCUUUUACGAUGUCAUAUCCUCAAGCAAAUACAGAUCCCUUCAAUGGAGCACAGCCCCAGACAUCAGAAGAAAUAGAGAAGCCACUCCAAAGAUAAAUCGUAACAGCCAUAACCAAAAGCUCUUAUACAGAAACUUCACUGGAUGGAAAAGAAAUACAACUGCGCGCAAUACUAAAUUAAAGAAGAAUGGAUAGAACUAGAAGUACCAUGAAAAACCUGCACGACCUUCGUCGGCGAAACAAAGAACUAUGGUAAUAAAACAUCUAUAACAUUUGGAACAAAUUUACUACUGGAACUAAACUUACAUCUAAAAUAGUGGAUUACGAAGAAAAUACCUAGAAGGCUUAAAAAUUUUAAAUACCUAAACAUUUGAGUAAGAAUUUAAAUAUGAGCACAAAUCAAGAAGUUACAUAAGUGAAAUUUCAAUCGGUCAAAGAAUAACGUUACAGCUUUCUAAAAAACGUAUCAUUGUAUUACGUCAAUGGACGAAAGUGUCGGCGGAACGGACGGAUUUGAUUCGACCUUGGCCCUGGUGAAGGUCGGCGUAGUAGCGGUUUCCGAAACGGUCCUCGGAAGUCGCGAGUAAACGCAUUCAGACUAAACGGCAGCUCCGGGAAUCUGACGAGGUCGGCAAAUGGCGGGUGUUACUUCCGAAGCACUUAAACAAAAUUACAGCGCACGGCUCAUACGGCAAGUUCCCUGGCGGGAAUAAAAGAAACAAACCACAAGUUAAUUAGCGGUGUCUACGGGAAAGCAAAUGCAGAAAAGCGAAACAAUAUCCCGCUUAUACCUAAUGGAACAGAAAGUAGCAAAAAGUCUACCUUGCAAUCAAACGGCGGUAGAAACUACUUAUAAGAAAAAGCAAAAACUGCGACUUAAUGUAGCAGCAAAAAUCAAAUGUUAUGAGUGCCAAAGUUAAUAUACGGAAAAGCUCAAAAUUACGGUACUUACGAACGUAACUUGCCAAAAAACACUAAAGGGAAAAGAUCUCAUCUAAACUUUAGCUUUUAUAAAUUUCGGCCAUGCCAUGGAGGGAACGCCGGUUUUCGCAACCAGUCCAGUGUAUUCGGAUACUAACAAUUAAUUGGGCGGCCCGCUGACGCCUUAAAAAUCUUAAUUAAGAGCGCUUCUUUAGAGACCACUCACGACUUAAUCGGUUGCUGUUUACUGCGACUCUGAACUAGCUACAGUUAAUUUAGGGCCAGUUUCAUAAUCACGCAAAAAUCUCCUUUAACUAAUGACAAAAAUUAAGACGGCUGUUGUGGACGAACCCCUCCAUUUCGAGUGGAAAAUAAUAUUGAGUUAAAAAUUAUAAACAUUAAUGAUACUAAUACAACAUUAAUUAAUCAUUAGUCAACUUUAGUUAAAGGAGACUUUUGCGUGAUUUUGAAACUAGUCCUAACUCUAUUAAAGGCGCGAGAUGAAAUUUCUACAUUCAUACUAAAGCUUCAUUGUCUCUUGAAUUUCUCAGGUCGGCAAAAGGUCUCUUAUUAAACUGAUACUGGCGUAAACCUGCAGCUUUAAUGCUCGUUUUAAAUUAACAUAGGAAACUGAAACCUACUAAUAAUGAUUUAACGGAGCUGAAAUUUUAAAAUAUCAAUUCGCCAUCGACUUCUAAGAGCAACAAGGAUAAUUGAAAUAUCUUAAACGGGGACGCUUGCAAACGGCGAAUGAAUUACAGUUUUUGUUUACAGUAACAGCGGCUGUAUCACAAACUCUAGAAAUUAAAUCAAUUUUACAUUCUAUCUUCAACCCCUAGAACCAAGAUAAAUAUGUUCUGCACGACACUUGUUACAAAGCUCAUCCAGAUACCGGGCGGUCAUGAAAGUAUGUAAAAUUCAAGGUGGAAAAUAGAUGCUUCCUUACAGGUGAUCGCACGAUAUGAAAUUUAUUCUUUUACCCAAAAUCAUCAAUAAACUUUCAUUUUUAUGCCUACUUUAUAUCAGGAAAUGACACCUGUCAUCACUGACAGAUUGAUAUCAAUCAAAGGUUCUAUAUAAAACCUGAAAUUUUAUAUUAAAAUACGAUUUCGGGUAAAAUUUAAUACAAAAAUCGUCAAUAAAAUGACAUUACUUGA